CCCCCAGCCUGACCCCGCAGAGCCACGCCCACGGCCAGCGCCUCGUUUGCUCGGCCGCUAACGAGGCCAGGGCCGGCCCCCAGCGAGGCCAGUCUCACCCUCGACGUCCUCUUUCCCCCCGACCCCCCCACCAUCGAGGGACUGGAGUCGCCCCACGUGCGGGCGGGGGACACCCUGCGACUGGUCUGCCUCGUGCGGGGGGGCAACCCCCCUCCCAGUCUGCACUGGGACAAGGACGGGGUGCCGCUGGGGGGGCCCUGGGUGCGGGAGGGGCCCCCCGGGGUGUCCCGCAGCCGGGUGACGCUGACGGUGGCCCCCGGGGACGACGGGGCCACCCUGCGCUGCCGCACGCACCCCCCCCCCGCCCGCGGCCACGCCAGCGCCAGCGUCACCCUCAGCGUCACCUACGGCCCGCCCGAGGUGCGGAUCGCGGGCGCGGGGGCGGUGCCCGAGAACGCCUCGUUGUCGCUGAGCUGCAGCAGCGGCCCCAGCAACCCCCCGGCGCGGCUGCGCUGGUGGCUGGGGGGCAGGGAGCUGCGCGCGCCCGACAGCGCC
Molecule: long non-coding RNA, 555 nt
Organism: Chroicocephalus ridibundus (black-headed gull)
Lineage: Eukaryota; Metazoa; Chordata; Aves; Charadriiformes; Laridae
Exons: 4
Source: RefSeq, a predicted model, not a curated record